RNAcentral lists this ribosomal RNA (484 nucleotides) under uncultured bacterium. Its description in RNAcentral is "partial 16S ribosomal RNA". It matches the Rfam family "Bacterial small subunit ribosomal RNA", at positions 30 to 507 of the family's 1533-position model. The record is from RNAcentral.
AUUGAACGCUGGCGGCAGGCCUAACACAUGCAAGUCGAGCGGAAGAAGCGUGCUUGCUCCUGGAUUCAGCGGCGGACGGGUGAGUAAUGCCUGUGAAUCUGCUUGGCUGUGGGUGAUAACGUCCGGAGACGGGCGCUACUACCGCCUACUUCCUGCGGGUGCAGCUGGGGGAUCUUCGGACCUCUCGCUAGCAUGUGAGCCUAGGCCGGAUUUGAUAGUUGGUGGGGUAAGGGCCUACCUAGGCGACCAUUCGUAACUGGUCUGAGAGGAUGAUCAGUCACACUGGAAGUGGGACACCGUCCAGGCGCCUACGGGAGGCAGCAGUGGGGAAUGUUGGGCAAUAGGCGAAAGCCUGAUCCAGCCAUGCCGAGUGUGUGAAGAAGGUCUUCGGAUUGUAAAGCACUUUAAGGUGGGAGGAAGCGCAGUAAGUUAAUACCUUGCUGUAGUGACGGUACCAACAGAAUAAGCACCGGCUAACUUCGUG